Molecule: ribosomal RNA, 1131 nt
Filed under: Triticum aestivum (bread wheat)
Lineage: Eukaryota; Viridiplantae; Streptophyta; Magnoliopsida; Poales; Poaceae
Description: partial small subunit ribosomal RNA
Source: RNAcentral
AUGGACCACACCGAGUUCGCCGUAUCGCCCUUCAUCGUGGCCACCGAGACCGACGGCGGCCUCGUCCUCCUAUGCGUCGUCCCCGGUAAGCGUCCAACCGAUGCCCAGCUUCUCCGAAAUCGCCAAUACUUCGUCUACGACGCCUGCUACUGCCAACUUUACCACCUCCCGCACCCUGGCCCACAACACGAAAUCAACGGCUUCUCGCUCGCCAUCAUGCGCGAGCCCAACAAAGGCACCGGCACCGGCAACCUACGCCCCCAUGGACAGGCAGAGUUCGGUCACUUCGUCGUUGCCGCACAAGCUCACUUAUUCUGGGGUAAAAAAUCUCCUCAGCUCUGCAUCUAUCACUCUGCUACCAAGACCUGGAGCAAGAAGCCGGUGGUGAUAGAUUCAUCUCCACAAAAACACUCUACAACCAAGACAUUCACCAUUGGAGGACCCAAGGGCACCGUGGCCUGGGUGGAUCUCUGGCGCAACAUCAUCUUCUGCGACGUGCUCGCCGGACGCCCCACGCUCAGCUGCCUGAAUCUGCCACCGCCCCUCAGGCCCCGCCCCAACGUGGGCGCUGGCAAUCCAAGGUCUCAUCGCAACAUUGCGGUCCUUGGCAACACCAUCAAGUAUGUCGAGAUGCUGCCUCACCCCGACAGAAGCUCCUCUACGCCCCCCUCCCAUCGUUGGGAGGUCGCGGCAUGGAGCAUCCAGAAGGCAAAUCGGUCCUGGCCCGAGGACUGGCACACCGAAGGCAACCUCGAUUCCACCCAUAUAAAGGUUGAUUCUGGUACCACAGCGGCUACCCUCCCAACCUUGUCGACUCUCCACGUUGGCCUGCCCACCCUCAGCCUGCAGAAUGAUGCCAUUUUUCACUUCCUCGCCAAGAUUGACUACCGCCAAAGCGAACACACAGCUUGGGUGCUUGCUGUUGACAUGCAGACCAAGACUAUCACGCAAGCGGCCGAGUUUCGCGCCGAGAGGACUCUUGGUUUAGCCUGGGGCUUCGACGCAAGUAGCAUCUCGGCAUAUCUCCAAACUGCUCCAGGUACACAGCAAAUACCUAAACGACCAGGGGUGCCGUUGCUGAAAUCACCUAGCAAGAAGCAUACUGGAGAUGUUGACGCCAUGGUGGCGUGA